Non-coding RNA from Musa acuminata subsp. malaccensis (wild Malaysian banana), 72 nucleotides. NCBI's taxonomy places the organism in Eukaryota, Viridiplantae, Streptophyta, Magnoliopsida, Zingiberales, Musaceae. The record is from Rfam.
GGUUUCAUGGUGUAGUGGUUAGCACUCCAGACUUUGAAUCUGGCGACCUGGGUUCAAAUCCCGGUGAGACCU